GAUGAACGCUAGCUACAGGCUUAACACAUGCAAGUCGAGGGGCAGCGGGAUUGAAGCUUGCUUCAAUUGCCGGCGACCGGCGCACGGGUGAGUAACGCGUAUCCAACCUUCCGUACACUCAGGGAUAGCCUUUCGAAAGAAAGAUUAAUACCUGAUGGUAUCUUAAGCACACAUGUAAUUAAGAUUAAAGAUUUAUCGGUGUACGAUGGGGAUGCGUUCCAUUAGGUAGUAGGCGGGGUAACGGCCCACCUAGCCAACGAUGGAUAGGGGUUCUGAGAGGAAGGUCCCCCACAUUGGAACUGAGACACGGUCCAA
Molecule: ribosomal RNA, 315 nt
Filed under: uncultured bacterium
Lineage: Bacteria
Description: bacterial SSU rRNA
Rfam family: Bacterial small subunit ribosomal RNA
Source: RNAcentral